GUAAUCCGACAGGGGAGCGCACAGCGCUGAGAGUGCGGGUAAAUCCGCAGACCCUCGCACCUGAUCUGGGUAAUGCCAGCGCAGGAAGUUCGGUCUUCUCCAGCC
This 105-nucleotide non-coding RNA is filed under the name Actinoplanes derwentensis. Its description in RNAcentral is "TPP sequence". It matches the Rfam family "TPP riboswitch aptamer (THI element)". Rfam says of the family: Vitamin B(1) in its active form thiamin pyrophosphate (TPP) is an essential coenzyme that is synthesised by coupling of pyrimidine and thiazole moieties in bacteria. The previously detected thiamin-regulatory element, thi box was extended, resulting in a new, highly conserved RNA secondary structure, the THI element, which is widely distributed in eubacteria and also occurs in some archaea. The record is from Rfam by way of RNAcentral. Lineage: Bacteria; Bacillati; Actinomycetota; Actinomycetes; Micromonosporales; Micromonosporaceae.